Molecule: ribosomal RNA, 264 nt
Filed under: uncultured alveolate
Lineage: Eukaryota
Description: partial Bacterial small subunit ribosomal RNA
Rfam family: Bacterial small subunit ribosomal RNA
Source: RNAcentral
UUGAAGAGUUUGAUCCUGGCUCAGAUUGAACGCUGGCGGCAUGGCUAAAGCAUGCAAGUCUGGGAGAACCUUCGGGGGACACCGGCGAAAGGGCGAGUAAUGCGAUCGAACGUACCCCAAUGUGGGGGAUAGCGUCGGGAAACUGGCGGUAAUACUCCAUGUGCUCUACGGAGGAAGUUGGGAGCGGCGAUCGUCCUAUCAGGUUGUUGGUGAGGUAAAGGCUCACCAAGGCGACGAUCCAUAGCUGGUCUGAGAGGAUGAUCA